This is a non-coding RNA of Anas platyrhynchos (mallard), 655 nucleotides long. The record is from RefSeq and is a predicted model, not a curated record. Lineage: Eukaryota; Metazoa; Chordata; Aves; Anseriformes; Anatidae.
GGAUUUGAGAAGAGGUUGCAGCUCAUCAAGGAGCGACACGUGCAGGGAUGGCUUAAAAAUGGCAAAGAGCUGCCCGAAGCCCCGUCCUGUGUAACGUGAGCAUGCCUCUCUGAGUAUGAAGCUUGCUUUCCAGUAGUUCCCAAAACUGUGUUGAAGCUGAAAUGCUGCGUCUGUUUUUUUGUGUUGGGGUUGCACCUUGGUGAUUGGCUUCAGGGUCCAGGUGGGACCUAGUGGUAACUGAGUUGCAGGUAUGCCAUCAGAGAGCUCCUUCUGCCUGGGCCGCACUUUUGGAGGACUAAAACCAGCUUGAUUACCGGCUACAUGUGGCUUGACAGUGUAGAUGCAGCAUUGCCAAGAGACUGAGCAGGGUUGUAUCAUAGUCACCUUUUCAUCUGCAAAGGGUGCUUUGUGCAGUAGUGGAGAGGGAAGGGAAAUCGUCAUGUCACGAAGCUCUGAGGGAAGGUGAGUGGUGUCAGCCUGGUCAUCCCUUAUCUGAAGCGAAGGGAAGACGCUCAGGUGUUUCCCUCAGAGGGUCCGGGGUGAGACUGUUUGGGAUAGAGGAGCAGUGUAGCAGGUGGGUGCUUGCAAGCACAGUGGUCAUUUUGUCCUUUUAUGUUCCCAGGUGGCGUGGGUGAUGCUGGCCGCUCCUUUCAAG